CGGAUUGCAGGCUGCAACCCGCCUGCAUGAAGUCGGAAUCGCUAGUAAUCGCGAGUCAGCAUAUCGCGGUGAAUACGUUCCCGGGUCUUGUACACACCGCCCGUCACACCAUGGGAGUUGGCAACACCCGAAGUCGAUGAGCUAACCGUAAGGAGGCAGUCGCCUAAGGUGGGGUUGAUAACUGGGGUGAAGUCGUAACAAGGUAGC
This 207-nucleotide ribosomal RNA is filed under the name uncultured bacterium. Its description in RNAcentral is "partial 16S ribosomal RNA". It matches the Rfam family "Bacterial small subunit ribosomal RNA", at positions 1294 to 1500 of the family's 1533-position model. The record is from RNAcentral.